CCAAUUUUGCCUGUUGUGCACAUUUGGAUUCUCUCCAAGGGUGUGGCAGCAUUUGGCACUUGUCUAUGGAGGAGGCUGUGAAGGGGACAGCAGAACACAUUGUGAAUCUGACAUGGGUUUCCAGAUAUAACACACGGUUUUGGUCAGCAGCCUUGUCACAGAAUUUGAGUGGAAGAGGAAUCUUUUACAGUAAUUUCCUUAACAGGAAUCAACUUAUUCUGGUCAAAACUGCAAAAUAACUUGACUUGGAUAACCUGAAAAAACUGAAAGUGGCUGUACACUAAGCACAAAAAGCUUGUCUUUAGUCAGCAGUUCUACAAGCAACUGAGUCUC
Serinus canaria (Common canary) is the source of this 333-nucleotide long non-coding RNA. RefSeq lists it as uncharacterized. The transcript is spliced from 3 exons. NCBI's taxonomy places the organism in Eukaryota, Metazoa, Chordata, Aves, Passeriformes, Fringillidae. The record is from RefSeq and is a predicted model, not a curated record.